RNAcentral lists this unclassified non-coding RNA (240 nucleotides) under soil metagenome. Its description in RNAcentral is "partial contains 5.8S ribosomal RNA, internal transcribed spacer 2, and large subunit ribosomal RNA". The record is from RNAcentral.
AACCAUUCUCACCUGCGGCUAGACCUGCGGAAGGAUCAUUACAGAGUUGCAAAACUCCCUAAACCAUUGUGAACGUUACCUAAACCGUUGCUUCGGCGGGCGGCCCGGGUCCUUCCCGGCGCCCAUCGGCCCUCGCGGGCGCCCGCCGGAGGUAAACCAAACUAUUGCAUUGUAUGGCCUCUCUGAGUCUUCUGUACUGAAUAAGUCAAAACUUUCAACAAUGGAUCUCAGAUCGGAAGA